CAUGCUGAUCUUGUAACAUUUGAUGAUGUGGGUGUCAAUUUUAUCAUUCAUUUUUGCAGUAACCCUUUAGUAAACCUCUCAUGAAUGAGUAUCCACGUCAUCAAAUGUUACAAGAUCAACAG
Molecule: microRNA precursor, 122 nt
Filed under: Cynara cardunculus (cardoon)
Lineage: Eukaryota; Viridiplantae; Streptophyta; Magnoliopsida; Asterales; Asteraceae
Description: miR6110 stem-loop (cca-MIR6110)
Source: miRBase by way of RNAcentral